Molecule: ribosomal RNA, 253 nt
Filed under: uncultured bacterium
Lineage: Bacteria
Description: partial 16S ribosomal RNA
Rfam family: Bacterial small subunit ribosomal RNA
Source: RNAcentral
GACGUAGGGCGCGAGCGUUGUCCGGAUUUAUUGGGCGUAAAGAGCUCGUAGGCGGCUUGUUGCGUCGACCGUGAAAACCCGCGGCUUAACUGCGGGCUUGCGGUUGAUACGGGCGGGCUGGAGUUCGGUAGGGGAGACUGGAAUUCCUGGUGUAGCGGUGAAAUGCGCAGAUAUCAGGAGGAAUACCGAUGGCGAAGGCAGGUCUCUGGGCCGAUACUGACGCUGAGGGGCGAAAGCGUGGGGAGCGAACAGG